This 264-nucleotide ribosomal RNA is filed under the name uncultured bacterium. RNAcentral describes it as "partial 16S ribosomal RNA". It matches the Rfam family "Bacterial small subunit ribosomal RNA", at positions 793 to 1055 of the family's 1533-position model. The record is from RNAcentral.
GUCCACGCCCUAAACGAUGUCAACUGGUUGUUGGACGGCUUGCUGUUCAGUAACGAAGCUAACGCGUGAAGUUGACCGCCUGGGGAGUACGGCCGCAAUGUUGAAACUCAAAGGAAUUGACGGGGACCCCGCACAAGCGGUGUAUGAUGUGGUUUAAUUCGAUGCAACGCGAAAACCUUACCUACCCUUGACAUGUCUGGAAUCCUGAAGAGAUUUGGGAGUGCUCGAAAGAGAACCAGAACACAGGUGCUGCAUGGCCGUCGU